CCUAGAUGUCCUUGUUCUAAGUGGCAGCAGUAUCCUUCGCCUCACGGCCCUGCUACCUUCGUGUGGAACACUUCUGGUGCUCUAAAGAUACCAAAAGGUUUUAAUUACGAUUAAGCGAUGUCAUUUCUACAAUUUCUAGCUGUAAAUAAACAGCCUGUUUUGGAUAAUGGAGAUCCCAAAGCCCAUUAAACUCAAGGUGGACUCUGAGUGCACAGGACUCUCUGUUGGGUCGACACAAUGCAUUACUUACUGGGAAGCUGUACCCGGCAAUCUUCAAGCUGUCCUAACAGAAAAAGACUAUUCAUGAAGUAGAGAAGAGAGUUUCUGAACACAUUUUCAUGGUUAAAAUGCCAAAUCCAGAGGCUACCUGUACAACAAAGUAUUGCACGUGUGUAUCACUUUAAAGACCUGCCUAACCUCCUUCUCCAGAACAGAACCAUUAACUCUUUUUUUAAGCCAAUAAUCAAUGAGUGUCUAAUUUGUUACAUUGACAUUUUUGCUGGUUUCAUCUGAACGAAUUAAUUAAAAGCAGAAUGUUUUCUUUCCAGGCAGAAGAGUGGGGGGUCUCAGCAGCCAGAUAAGUUUUGACCUUUGUUGAGAAAACAUUUUAAUGAGGUAAAGCUGCAGAACCCAUUGAUCGAAGAUCUAGUGUCUGCUCUGACACGUCUGAUGGGCCCUGGAAUACAUUAGCUGGGGCUUCCGGGGGAUCUCAGAGCAGUGGCCUAGCCCAGUGGUCUGCAGGGCAAAUGGGAAGUGGCCAAAAUGGGGAGAAGAGGAGUUAAAAACAGAACAGCCGCCACCCUGGGUCCUCUCUCCUGGCUCUGAGGCAUCCGCCUGUCUUAAUCUGUACAGCUGCAGCUUGUCCAGGAGUCCCUGGGACCUGCACUCUGUUAAUUGAAGUGCAUUUGGAUCAAGGCUUUCUCAGUGUGAAGUGCAGCUUUCCUUUAUGAAGCAUCAUCUCUAAUGCACCUACUGUUGAUGUUAGCAUGAGAUAGGCACAUAGUGAAAAGAAGAGAACAGAAAUACUAUCAAGGUACACCUAGAGGUACAGCACUCGCUUUAAUUGCUUCUGGAACUCUUCACCUGGGCCUUAUCAAUAUGGCUAAUUCUUCAAGAAAUGAGAACAUAGGUGAGCCCCGCUUGAGAAGUGUACUCAUUUAUUUCCCGCAAGAGAGGAUUGAGUUGUUUUCUUUUUGUUAUGAAGAUUGAUAAUAGCAAAUGGAUAAAGCCAGGGCUGCUCCUUAGCCACCCUUUGAUCUUCCUGCUGUCGGGUGGAUGCUAGCUGCCAUACUGGACCGGCAUGGCAUAUGGUGGCAGCACCCAGAAGGUAAACAGGGGUCCAGGCAGUUUCUUCUUAUGCUAAGGCAGCACUUGAAGCUUUAAUCAAUAAGUACAAUUUGUAUUUAUUACCCCAAGAGGCUUUUCUGCCAAACUUAAAUUCCAAAAGGGGGGACAAUGGGAAUGUUUGCAGAUGGGAGUUGAGGAGGCUGAAGCAAACUCAAGAAGUAGGUAUAUCCGCUGUGCUGUAAUGUCACCCUCCCUCUGAAAUGUUAGCAUUUACCCCAACAGAGAAUCUUGGGUCAGUAAAAUAACUGAAACACCUCUGACAGCACCUUCAGACACCCACUUGCCUGGCACAGCCCCACGUGGACUGACCCACAAGCUGCGCUGUGCUACUCAGCCAGGUCCAGGUUGAGCUUGUGCCUAGGAACCUUGGAUGCCUCCACACCCAGGCAUCCCCUCAGGCACCUGUCUGCUGCAAGCUUCCCCACAGGCCACUCACAGACCCUGCUCAGGGGCCUGUCACAGGGCUAAGCAGCCCACUCAAAAGUCCCUCUGUGAAGCCAGGCUACCCUGUGGCCGUGUUGACAUUUUCCCUAAAUUUUUCCAAGGCAGGUAUCUGGAACACAGCAAUUGCAACACUUGUAAGAGCAUGUAGGCUACACGUUCGAUUUGUCACUUUUGUGGCAUGUCCCACCUCUUCUUUGUAUUAUAAUCCUCUACUUCCUCUAUACUUUCCUUACCUCCUAACUAACUGAUGGUAUCUCAGUAAAAAUUAAUAAUGUUAUCCCUGUGAAAAAUUAAACAGCAUCUUGUUAUCCAUAUUCUGCCAUCUUUUUGAGUAAAUGACUUCAAAAAUAAAUAGUAUGAAUAGCAAAGUCAAUUGGUUACUCUGUUCACCAGAGCUGAGAGAAGUUACCCAAGUGAUGCUCUGCAUCCCUGCUCCUCCCCUAAAGGGGUACUGCAGGUGCAAGUUGUUGGACUACGGUGGUUCACAUUUGCACAGACUGGAGGAACUGUAGAGAGGGCUGGUUCUGCAGCCAUUUCUAUUAUAGACUGGACAUGGAGGAGACCUGAUGGCUCCAAAGCAUACUUGUGAUUUCCAACAGACUAAAGCAAUGGCAAACCCUGCAAUGUAUGAAUUCACUGAUCAGAAGUAAGAUAUGGUUUGGAGGGCAUCAGCUGGGGCUGGCAUUUAAGUACAGAGAGCAUAGUAAUAAAUUCACUACCAUGUCAGGGCCAGAUUUAAGAAGUUAUUCUUACAAGAAUUUUGUUUUGGAAAAGUUUUAAAUGGCAUGUGUUGUGCAGGAGGCUUCAAUGUGUGAACACAGAGUCAAAUCAUUAAGUGUCAGUAGCCAUACCAGAAUUUUAUUUUUUGACUUCUCCAUCAAGGGAGGAAGAUGCUAUUCAAGCAGUCCUGGUUUAAGAUUGCAUCAGUGUAUGUGAAUCUGUGUACAUCUGUAUUAUUUGGGGAUUUCUUUGAGUCAAUAUAUUUAGAGUAAAAGCCAAAGUUCAAAAAAAGCCAAGCUCCAGAUUUGCAAGGAGCAUUUUGGAGCUCCUGCACUCUCUGUGUGCCCACACCUGACUGUCAGAUGGCAAAUGCUUGGUGCUCAGUCUAAAUCAGGCUGCGCCACUGUCCCCUGAUUGGGCUCCCAAACUGGAGGCACCUAAGACUGUGGUUCAAAGCAGCAGCUAAAUGCCGCUAUCUAAAAACACACAGGAACAGAGACAGCUCUUCAGCACAAUACUGCUUUGGAGCCACUUCAUACCUAACCUAUUCUCAAAAGGCCAAGCUGCUUAUGAUGAACUGCUUACAACAGACUGUGGAUCUGGGAUAAAGUGCCAGAGUGUGCUUUUCAGGACCUAAAUAAUCUAUUGACAUAUCCCCAGUACUAGAAUUUCAUAAUGUUUCCAAUUUCCAGCCAUUUCAGGAGAUGCCAGAUGCUCUGGUCCCAGCAGAGUGCUGCUCCAGUUAUGUGAGGAUGGUGAGGAGUCUAGCACAUUGCUGCAGGCAGCAACCAGCCACUUCGAGUUGGCUGCUGUCUUGAGGAUAUUCGACUACCCCUUGCAGCCCGAAGAGGGGCUCCGUGUUUCUCCUGGGGUACUUCUUCCUCUUGGGAGACAAGGCAAGGUCCGCAGCCAAAAGAGGUGGUUCUGAUCUCAUCAGAUGACUACUUCAAGGUAAUCAGGGAGAGCAGCAGAAGAAAAGGGUGAGAAACUGCUGGGUCUGGGUUAGAGGAGCAGUUUGUUUAGCUCUGGGUAGUUGCAUUUGCUGCCUCUGCAAUUGGGAGCUCUUUAACAGGAGUCCUGGGAUGAAAAAUUCUGUCUUCUGGGAGCUGCAGGUAGCACACUAGCUUCCCACGGUGAUUCAAGUCUGACCUUGCCUUUCUGGGCAGCAACUAUAACAGGCUGUGUGUCACUGUUCAGAGACGAAGAUAACACUGAGUAAGCCAAACAGUCUCAGAGCUCUUGGUUCAUUCUUCACCAAUGAGUUAAUGCUGAGCAGUGGGCUAAUACAAUUAGCGGACAUGACAAAGGGGUAAGAACUUCAGCUAGAGUGGGAGAGGAUGGGUCAAAAAGUAUUCUGCCAGAUUAGAUUGACAAUGUUGGCUCAGCCUCAUGGGCUGCAGCUUUUGGAGCUGUUAACAAACAUCGUCGAGAGCUUGUGGAGAGCAGGUGGAGGUCCAGAAGGUUGCAGAACACACUGGGCUGCCCAUCCAAAAAGAAGAAAUAAGGAGAAACCCAGAAACUACAGGCUUGUCAGCUUGGUUUUGGUGUGCUAGAAUGUACUAGAGUAAAAACUCUCUCCUCCAUCCUUGCAAAUACUUUUGGGGGAGGAUUAAGGCUAUAUUAAUGCAUAUUUAUGAAGAACAAUUCACAUGAAACCAGCAACAUCAUUCCUGGACAGUGUUUCAUAGUUGGGAAAGAAGAGGUGUUGGUAAACGAUCUUAACCUGUGCGAGGCUUUCUCAAAUAAGCCAGUCUCAUGUCCAAGCCUGGAAAAUGCCUUCUGCUUGAAGCCAUUAUAAGCCUGGAAAUCUGUGAAGCUUAAUGUGUCAUCAGGCAUUACUGACAUGUUAUCAUUAUGACCUACAAAUAAAAUCAGUCCUGUAGUGGAAA
Molecule: long non-coding RNA, 4400 nt
Organism: Dromaius novaehollandiae (emu)
Lineage: Eukaryota; Metazoa; Chordata; Aves; Casuariiformes; Dromaiidae
Exons: 2
Source: RefSeq, a predicted model, not a curated record